GACGAACGCUGGCGGCGUGCUUAACACAUGCAAGUCGAACGGAAAGGCCUGCUUUCCCUUGUGGAUUGCGGGUACUCGAGUGGCGAACGGGUGAGUAACACGUGAGUGAUCUGCCCCCAACUUGGGUAUAAGCCUGGGAAACUGGGUCUAAUUCCCGAUAGGACUGCAGGGUGGUGCCUGUGGUGGAAAACGAUUUUCUAGUGGUUGGGGAUGAGCUCGCGGCCUAUCAGCUUGUUGGUGGGGUAAUGGCCUACCAAGGCGGCGACGGGUAGCCGGCCUGGGAGGGUGGACGGCCACAUUGGGACUGGGAUACGGCCCAGACUCCUACGGGAGGCAGGAGUGGGGAAUAUUGCACAAUGGGCGGAAGCCUGAUGCAGCGACGCCGCGUUGGGGAUGGCGGGCUUCGGGUUGUAAACUCCUUUCGACCGCGAGGAAGCCACCUGGUUGGAAGGGUGGUGACGGUAGUGGUAGAAGAAGCACCGGCUAACUACGUG
RNAcentral lists this ribosomal RNA (494 nucleotides) under uncultured bacterium. RNAcentral describes it as "partial 16S ribosomal RNA". It matches the Rfam family "Bacterial small subunit ribosomal RNA", at positions 28 to 507 of the family's 1533-position model. The record is from RNAcentral.